Molecule: ribosomal RNA, 503 nt
Filed under: uncultured Glomus
Lineage: Eukaryota; Fungi; Glomeromycota; Glomeromycetes; Glomerales; Glomeraceae
Description: SSU rRNA
Rfam family: Eukaryotic small subunit ribosomal RNA
Source: RNAcentral
AGCAGCCGCGGUAAUUCCAGCUCCAAUAGCGUAUAUUAAAGUUGUUGCAGUUAAAAAGCUCGUAGUUGAAUUUCGAGACCGGCUUACUGGUCGUGCUAUUGUACGUACUGGUAUAAUCGGUUUCUCCUUUCUGACGAACUUUAAUGCCAUUAAUUUGGUGUUUUAGGGAAUCAGGACUGUUACUUUGAAAAAAUUAGAGUGUUUAAAGCAGGCUCACGCUUGAAUACAUCAGCAUGGAAUAACGGAAUAGGACGUUUGAUUCUAUUUUGUUGGUUUCUAGGAUCGACGUAAUGAUUAAUAGGGAUAGUUGGGGGCAUUAGUAUUCAAUUGUCAGAGGUGAAAUUCUUGGAUUUAUUGAAGACUAACUACUGCGAAAGCAUUUGCCAAGGAUGUUUUCAUUAAUCAAGAACGAAAGUUAGGGGAUCGAAGACGAUCAGAUACCGUCGUAGUCUUAACCAUAGACUAUGCCGACUAGGGAUCGGGAUGAUGUAAUUUUUAAUGAC